This is a non-coding RNA of Xiphophorus maculatus (southern platyfish), 66 nucleotides long. The record is from Rfam. NCBI's taxonomy places the organism in Eukaryota, Metazoa, Chordata, Actinopteri, Cyprinodontiformes, Poeciliidae.
CACACGUCAGUGAAGAGCUCACAGUAAACCGGUUGUGGGAUGUGAGCUCUGAUGGAAAUCUGUGUG